This is a long non-coding RNA of Saccostrea cuccullata (small rock oyster), 287 nucleotides long. RefSeq lists it as uncharacterized. The record is from RefSeq and is a predicted model, not a curated record. Lineage: Eukaryota; Metazoa; Mollusca; Bivalvia; Ostreida; Ostreidae. The transcript has 3 exons.
GCUUCCCGUAGUGACAGAAAAUGUGCUUUGAUAGCCGCAGUAAAGGCAGUUGGUGUUUUAUUAAAGAAAACUAGUGAAUUAAAGAGCUUGGGACCAUAAAUGGAGAAGCUUACCGAAGAUAGGGCCUUUCAAGUGAAGGAGAGUAAGGAAAGUGGUUUGAGGUAUUCCAAGACGUAAAGAAUCCUGUCUUUUGUGUGGAAUUCAAGAUAUUGAGCAACAAUUCCCACAAGAAGAAGCAAUUGCCUCCAGGGUACUAUGGACAUGUGGCAAUAUAAAUCCAAAGGACA